CCAUGUUCUUUACAAGCAGAAACCCGGGUCGCUCCCUGAUUGGUCAAUGCCAUGGUGGGAGGCCACGUGAUGUGACGUCAGUCUGAGGCCAUUCCUCUCGAGCUCGCCAAGGUGGUCGGAAGCAAAAUCUCGAUUUUCUUCUAAAUUUCGCAUGGAAUUACAGAAAUUCUGCUUUGGCCACAUAACUUCCCUUGAUCUCUGAUAUGAGAUGACGGUCGAGGUGUCCAUGGUGGUAAGAGAUGACAGCCGGUGGUCCAUGAUGCUAGGAGGUGAAGGUUCUGUCCAGAAAUCACCCGGUGAUCUCAAUCCAAGCUAGGUGAUGGACCAUAAUCAGCAGUCAGAUCAACAAUGUUCAAUACAAGGCCAUCGAGUCCUAGUCCUAGUCUUUCAUGGUGAUCGGUUCGGCAAAGAAGGAUAACGCGGACACAGUACCAUACGAGGUGGGAUGUCAUACACACGAAGCGGCUGGACUCCACAGGGAAUCAGAUGAUACAGCGGAUACAAUACUACACACGGUGGAAUGGCGUCAAUGGCGUAAUCAAGUCACGUGAUCUAUAUACGAGGACGACGUCGAAGUCAUGGCAUAUUAGCCCCUUCUUUUUUGAGAAAUCACAGGAACGUGCACGUGCGUCACAGACGUUUUGAAUACUUAAACGUUGGGAAAAACGUAAGAUUGCGAAACCUCUCUUUUUUUGCUCUGUUGCCUAAUGCAUGAACCUGACAUGGUACAUGAACACGGGAAAACUCGUUUGAGUGAAUCGGAAAACCAGAAAUUAGAAUGAACUUUGUCAGUAGCAAUGUAAUGAUCUUUGGGUCUUUGCUUUUAUCACCAGAAUACUCGACGUAUCAGGUGGAAAUUGUAAGAAAUUGAGAAGAGUUUUAUUGGUUAAUUAUGGGGGCAAUCUUUCAAGCUACAUGUGAUCAGGUUCAUGCACAGGGCUACAGUGUUGGCCAUUGGUGAAACAAUUGUUCCAUCUCAGGUGUAUCUUCAUCAAGGUGAAAGUACAUUUAGUCACUUGGGGAAUUAGUCCUAUCCUAUUGUCCAAUGAGUGUUCAGCGAUUUACAGUUAGAGAUGCCAUGCCUUCAUAAUACGAUUGUAAAAACAACGCAGACUAUUUGAAAAAUCAAGUUAAAAAAACCCUGUCCAUUCCGGUAAACUUUCUUGGCUCAAGUAGGCCACUUUUAUAUAUCAUUUCACGAAAGUCUCCUGUUUAAAAACGGGCAAAAAAUACUUUCGCGAAAGAAAAGUAAAAAAAGGUUCAGCCUGGAUUCGAACCAGUGAUCCCUUGAACUAGAAUCCGACGCUCUUACCACUACUCCAUAAAACCACCCACUGGAAGGGGCCGGCAAUGUGAGAGUCAAUGAAAACAUGUGCUCAGACCUUCAUCAUUGAGUUAUGUCACGAUCAUUCAAUUGAGUAUACAAGUUCCAGGACUCUUUGUCCAAAUUGUGUGGAUUUCACGUCACUGCCACAGACCCUUUGAUAGGCCAUUGUGGUCCCUAAAUCUGUAUAUUCCAUUGAAUGAGACAAUAGGGCCUACUGUUGCUGUCCAAACUGUCCAAUAAUUUUUCCACGUUACUGUGUUUGCUGGUAGUUUGGUAUCACAAGCUCGUGAUAUAUCAAUACAAGCACAGGGUGUUAAUCAAAACAAGUUACAGUCUUGAGGCCUAAUAGCCGUUGUUCUAAAUGACUUGGCCAAUUUGAUUUGUACCAUCAACAAAUAGAAUCCCUCAGAAUUUGUUGCAUACUAACUGAAGUAUAAUCUAUCCAGUUCAUGUACUUCUUACACAACUGGAAUUCAAAAUGUUUUAAUUAACACCCUGUAUACUUGAUGAACAUAUCACGUAUAAGUUCCAAUUCAAAGCCGUGGCAGUUGUAGUUUGACUUGCGACGGUUAUUUCAAAAAGUAUUUUUUGUGUAUAAAAACCUUAUCAUAGUCUCGAACUACACCUUCCACCAUGGACCACCCAGGCUCCUCAAGUCUGGUGUCCUCGAAAACCCUCAUUCAGCCCCCUUUCCAUUUUGGGAAAACAUUCAAUCAGAAAUGGAAAACAUUUGUGAUACCCUGUAUAUGUGUAUUUAUGUUAAGAUGUCGGAUAUUCCGUUGUGAUCAAAAGUAGAAAUUAGUUUAUCAACAACAUCAUUUAACUGCUGCAGUACGAAGUUGUUUCUUAAGAAUAUCAAUUAAGAAAACAAAACCCCUAUAAACUAAAAGUAACACGUAUUCACCCAUUCUGAAUUACAUAAACAAGAGUUGACCUCUUAGUCCCAAAAAGCUGAGAAUCAAUUUGGUGAUCCGAUUUCUGGUUGCGGCUAACUGGGUCUACUCUGGCGUCCGAUUCCAGACCAUGAGCGUACUCUUCCAUAUAAGGCUGCGGCUGGGAACGAACAUCGCCGUACUGGGUCCUCGCAUGAUAAGUGGGCAGUGACACCGCAUCCAGAUUUUGAUGUUGAGUUCUGAAAUAACUAAUUGGUACACCCAAGAAUUGACUGUGUAAUAACAUACACAUUUCAAUCGUUGGGGUAAAUUAAUCUAUGUCAUUAAAGCAACAUCAACAUUCGAAAUGUUUGAACGGAUUUAUCAGGGCAUUAAGAUAACAUUAUCAAUCGCCCUUUUUUAAAAACCAUGCUACCAAUCCAGACCUUAGAUCCAAAUCAAAUGAAAUGUAUGGAAAUCCAUCCCCUUCCAGACUGUUCAAGAUAUUCUAAAGAAACAAUUAACUGACGGCAAUACUCUGUACAACAGAUUAAGAUUUAGGCCUUAAUUACCGGUACUUGAUUCAGACUGUGUAAAAAUACUUUAAUCUCACUUCUAUAAGACCAUCUAAUGAACUUUACAGAAGGAAUGAUUGCGGCUGCGGUAUAUCCUUUGACUUCCGCAGCUGUAGUGUAAACUGUAAGACUUCACAAGCACUAAAGCUGUCUUAUCACUUUCUAUUUGCUACGUGGAUUUGGGUUGUGUUAAAAUUCACGAAAAUGGUCUUAUAUUUGUGAUUUUACAGUAUUUCGCCUUCUUUGCGUGUACUGUGAAAAUGAUUAGUAGUUUUUUUAAUAAAACUUGUG
Lineus longissimus is the source of this 3065-nucleotide long non-coding RNA. RefSeq lists it as uncharacterized. Lineage: Eukaryota; Metazoa; Nemertea; Pilidiophora; Heteronemertea; Lineidae. The record is from RefSeq and is a predicted model, not a curated record. The transcript is spliced from 4 exons.